AUGGGGAUGGGUUCCCUCACAAUGUCCCUACCAGCUGCAAUUCUCCUCCUCCUUUACGGCAUUCGGCACAGCCAUGAUGAAGAGGGUUAUGGAGAAAAUGGAAAUGGUUUGUACAAGCCCCUGAACACAGAGACAGACGGUGAGGCAGCUGAUUCUGAGACUCAUCAGGUCACUCCCUUCGCUACUGCUGGUUUUUUCAGUGAGAUGUCAUUUUGGUGGUUGAAUCCUCUGAUGAAGAUGGGCUAUGAGAAUCCCCUUGAGGACAAAGACAUGCUUCUUUUAGGCGCCACAGAUCGAGCGCAAAACCAGUACUCGAUGCUCAUGGACAAGCUGAAUUGCAAGAAGCAGUCGCCGUCACAGGCCACACCAUCACUCUUCUGGAUUAUUGUUUCUUGUCACAAGCGUGCCAUCGUGGUCUCGGGUUUCUUUACUUUGCUCAAGGUUCUCACCUUAUCUACAGGCCCAAUAAUUCUCAAGGCAUUCAUCAAUGUAUCACUUGGGAAAGGGACCUUUAAAUACGAAGGCUAUGCGCUGGCUGCAUUAUUGUUUGUCUGCAAAUGUUGUGAAUCAUUGUCGGAGAGACAGUGGUAUUUCCGCACUCGGAGAUUAGGACUGCAGGUGAGAUCACUCCUGUCAGCAGCUAUUUAUAAGAAACAACAGAAGCUAUCAAAUGCAGCAAAAACGAAGCACUCUUCUGGACAAAUUAUGAACUAUGUGACCGUCGAUGCCUAUCGGAUUGGGGAAUUCCCAUAA
RNAcentral lists this ribosomal RNA (753 nucleotides) under Triticum aestivum (bread wheat). RNAcentral's name for it is "partial small subunit ribosomal RNA". Lineage: Eukaryota; Viridiplantae; Streptophyta; Magnoliopsida; Poales; Poaceae. The record is from RNAcentral.